AGAGUUUGAUCCUGGCUCAGAGCGAACGCUGGCGGCAGGCCUAACACAUGCAAGUCGAGCGCCCCUCCUUCAAGCGAGCUUGAAGGAUUGCGCGGCGGUGUCUUCGAACGGGCGUAAGCGCGUUUCGAGGGCAACCGUUUCGAAAUCAAGCGGACCAAAGGGCUCGCUUGAUGGAGGGGAGCGGCAGACGGGAGAGUAAC
This 200-nucleotide ribosomal RNA is filed under the name uncultured bacterium. RNAcentral describes it as "partial 16S ribosomal RNA". It matches the Rfam family "Bacterial small subunit ribosomal RNA", at positions 8 to 114 of the family's 1533-position model. The record is from RNAcentral.